UUUAAAGUUCAGUUCUUUAAUAUUUAUUAUAUGCCUGUCACCCAAUAAUCUGAAAAAACAUCACCACAAUGAAGUUUCUUUUGGGUGAAGAAUUAGGAAGAAUUCAAGGAAAAAAAAAAAAAUCAAUUCGUAUUAAAAACAAUCUUCUUCCAACAGUUAAUCUCAUUACUUACCAUUUUUAAUUCGAUUAGAAACAAAAAACAACUUAUCCUCUAGUUCUCACAAUG
RNAcentral lists this long non-coding RNA (227 nucleotides) under Bos taurus (domestic cattle). RNAcentral describes it as "long non-coding RNA NONBTAT025419". Lineage: Eukaryota; Metazoa; Chordata; Mammalia; Artiodactyla; Bovidae. The record is from RNAcentral.